ACGCACGCUGGCGGCGUGCUUAACCCAUGCAAGUCGAACGGAAAGGCCCCUUUGGGGGUACUCGAGUGGCGAACGGGUGAGUAACACGUGAGUAACCUGCCCUUGACUUCGGGAUAACUUCAGGAAACUGGGGCUAAUACCGGAUAGGAAUCCUUGCUGCAUGGUGGGGGUUGGAAAGCUUCGGCGGUUUUGGAUGGACUCGCGGCUUAUCAGCUUGUUGGUGGGGUAGUGGCUUACCAAGGCUUUGACGGGUAGCCGGCCUGAGAGGGCGACCGGCCACAUUGGGACUGAGAUACGGCCCAGACUCCUACGGGAGGCAGCAGUGGGGAAUAUUGCACAAUGGGCGGAAGCCUGAUGCAGCAACGCCGCGUGCGGGAGGACGGCCUUCGGGUUGUAAACCGCUUUCAGCAGGGGCGAAGCUUGUGGUGACGGUACCUGCAGAAGAAGCACCGGCUAACUACGUG
RNAcentral lists this ribosomal RNA (464 nucleotides) under uncultured bacterium. Its description in RNAcentral is "partial 16S ribosomal RNA". It matches the Rfam family "Bacterial small subunit ribosomal RNA", at positions 29 to 507 of the family's 1533-position model. The record is from RNAcentral.